This 1563-nucleotide long non-coding RNA is filed under the name Anas platyrhynchos platyrhynchos (common mallard). RNAcentral's name for it is "lncRNA (ENSAPLG00000021564.1)". Lineage: Eukaryota; Metazoa; Chordata; Aves; Anseriformes; Anatidae. The record is from RNAcentral.
UUCUAUUCUAUUCUAUUCUAUUCUAUUCUAUUCUAUUCUAUUCUAUUCUNNNNNNNNNNUUUUUUCUUGUUUUACACUGGUUCAUAAACCCAUGUACGGAAAGACCCAAAAUACCUAUGUCAGAUACUUCUCAGGAUAUGGUCUCCUUUUGAAACACUGGGAGCUGGGGUGAGAUGGUGCUGGGGUGAGAUGGUGCUGGCAGACAUUCUCCUGCUCUUGAGUCUACCUUUGGUCACCUUUUCUCCCUCUGUGCUCUUCACCACCACCAAGGGAGGUGUUAGAAGCCCAGUGCAUGGUAAAUUAGUGCCUUUCUCUGUCACUUGGCCCACCCUGGGCUGUGCAGACCGAACUCUUAAUUAGUGCUCAAAUAAAUAAUGCUUGGGCCAAAUCAAAUACUGAAGAUUAAAGUAUGAUCUGGAAGCCUGAGCCUGAGCUCGUAGGAGUGCAGCAUAUCAAACAGGAAAGGGGGUUAAUUUAAGGGACAAAGUUGUUCAUUAAAAUUUGAAACUCCUAAAUUAAAAAAAAAAAAAAAAGAAUUGAAUCACUCAAGAAGUAGCUUAGAAAAAAUGGGUCAUAAAUGUGGCUGAGAUAAAAACAGUACCCCAGGCCCUCAUGUUGCAGGCAGUUCAGGAGAAACACUUUUGCAAACCUUCACAGUUUCCACCUUGCUGAAGCUUUGGUCCCAGUUCUUCAACAGCAUUAUCAUCUCAUGAAGAUAGUUUCCCAAAGAAGCCCCAAAACACAGAAACAUCUUCAAGGAAAAAAUGUUUGCAGAUGAGCCAACUGGAGAAGAAAAUGGCUGAGAACCCUGCAUUUACAGGAGGAAAAGUCGAGGCCUCAGCUAGGGAGCAGUAACAACAACUGAACCUGCACUUAGAUAUCAACUACCCUUUUGGGGGAGCUGAUUCUUGCUCCUGAGUCAGGUGUGUGCAGAGAGGAAAAGGACACAUCACCAUGGGAUAGACUGGUCCUUCCAUCUUCACUGACUCCUCAGAGCAAUCAGGACUUGGUGAUAAGGCCUGCUCUGCUGUCUGGAGAAGCAGUCUUUCAAGAUGAAACUCAGUUGUUCAAGCAAAUGCAUCUGCAGCUGUUUCUUACUGGCAUCCCACUGACUUUCCAAGGCCAAGGGUUCCCCUUACCUUUUCCAGCAGCUCUAUGUGUGUUUAGAGUUGCCUAUGACAUGCCAAAUAGGAUUAGAUACCUGAUUUUAGGUAACUGAACCUUAUUUGUGCUUGUGAGCAACAUCAGAGACAACACGAGAGGCCACAUCUUGGGAACCAGGGCUGCAAAGGCUAGACUGCUCUCACCACCUCUAUCACUUCCCAGAAAAUACAUUUAUUGUGACCACCAUUAUCAAUUUUUAACUCUUAGACUAUGCUCCAGCACACAUUUAUCAAUGCUCCCAGCACCGAUAACAAAUACCAGUGUUCCUUCUUGCUAGGCCCACAGCAAAGACCAUACUCUGAAUGGCUAUCGCCUAGAUAAGGAAAAUGAAGGAAAUAAUAUCUUUAUUUUGCAGAUGGUUAACCAGGUACAGAGGAAUGUGAUGACUUUUCCUGGGAU